GCUAUAUAGCUUUGAAACCCCAGUUCCUAUACAAUCACUGAAGUUAAGCAAUGUCGAGUCUGUUCAGUACCUAAAUGGGUGACUACUUGUGAAUAGCAGGGGCUGUAAG
Molecule: non-coding RNA, 109 nt
Organism: Acanthosepion pharaonis
Lineage: Eukaryota; Metazoa; Mollusca; Cephalopoda; Sepiida; Sepiidae
Source: the annotation of a GenBank genome assembly